Aphis gossypii (cotton aphid) is the source of this 762-nucleotide long non-coding RNA. RefSeq lists it as uncharacterized. The transcript has 4 exons. The record is from RefSeq and is a predicted model, not a curated record. NCBI's taxonomy places the organism in Eukaryota, Metazoa, Arthropoda, Insecta, Hemiptera, Aphididae.
AGUUUUUAAUUUUUCACAUUAUUAUAAUAAGUCACAUCUCUUAAUUUCUGUAAAAACAGUGUAACUAGUGUAAUACAUGCAUGCGUAACUGUGCGAGUUAACUUUAUUUUAAUUUUUAAGUUUUUGACUCAUCAAAAAUAUAAAUCGAAAAAAGGGUUGCAAAAUGGAUACUAAUCUAUUGUAUAUUUAGUACAAUUGUCACGAUGUAGUCGUUGUGCAGCUUGUGGCUCUUGAACUGCAUAUUUCAUCGAAAGGGUUUUCAAAUAGAGGAUAUUUGGAUUCGUGGAAGAAUUUAGUUCAAUGCGUAAACACACAAUCACAGAAAUACCAAUGGUACAAAAUUGUAAUCCACUGAUUGUUGUCCAUUGUUGAACAAGUAUGGAUAGAACUGGCCUCUUGAAGUAUUAAUUUAUCUUCUACCAUGUGUAUUAAAUCACAAUCAAGAAAUGGACAUAGAUAAAAUUAUAUGACUGGCUUGACACCACCAGAGCAUGUUUUUUUUGAGGACUGAUCAAUAUAAACUGGUAUACUCACUAAUCAUUUAGUUAAAAUUAUGAGUAGAGUAUGAUUUUUAUACUCAAAAUACAAAACCAUACAGGGUCUAAAUGUUGAAUAAAAUAAGUGUGUGUAUAAUGUAUACAUCCAAAUUGAAAUAGAAAAUUAUAUUUUUUAAAGAUCAAAACAUUUUAUGGUAUUUUAUUAUAAUGCAAUCAAUAUUAGAAACAUAAAAGAAUCAAUGUAAUAUAUUUUAUUUUAUUUUUA